AUCUCCGGACGAUUGGCCGGCAGCUGCUCGAGUACGCCUUAUCCUGCCGGCGGGGUGUAGAAACCCUUGUCGUGGCAGGUCAGGCAGAGCUCGCUGCGCUGGUCACUCCUCCACAGCAGCUUCUCGCCCGUGUUCCCCUUGUUGUGCACCGAGUGGCAAGUGGCACACUCGAGGUUUUCGUUAAAGAGGUGGUCGGCGACGAACGUGUCCACCGUCAGCUGCACGGUACUCGCAUCGCGGAUCUCGAUGUCUGACGCCUGCACCGCGUUGUAGUUGAACCCGAUCGGAUGGUGGUUGAUCAGGGACUGAUUCGUGCCGAUCUGGUAUGCCAAACUCAUGAACGUAUUACCGAUCGACUGCGUCGCCUGGCUGGUGUUGCCCCAGGAAUUCACGGCGACGCUUCCGUCGUGACAGCUCAGGCAGAGGAGCGAGACGCUGCCGGGAGUCAUGCCGACGUCGAUGGCAUUGGGUGCGCUUCGGUCCGACCGUCGGCGCGCCGGGCCCGGGGUCGUACAUCAUGUAUGCUGUGUUCGCCUGCAGCGUGUGGUUCCACAGCGGCAGGUAAUCGAAUUCCGUGGCGGCUUGCGGGCCGUUACACGGCGUCCCGGCGAUCCUGUACGUGUUGUGCGGCGCGUGACAGAAGAUGCAGAUUCUCUGCUGCGGAUCUGUCGGCACCGCAACGUAGGUCAUUCCAUUGUGCGGGUGGCCGAGGUCGUGCGGCGUUUCGUUGAUUCCCACACCCGGCACGUAGGUUCCAGUGUAGGCGAGGGCGGAGGAACCCUGGAACACCCAGCCUGCGAUGACCAGCACUGCCAGCGCUGCGCUUCGCAUGAUCGCUUUCAUCUCGAUUCUCCCUCCGUAGCCUUUCGUCAUUCGCAUUUCGCUCAUCUGCUUGCCAGAGGCAGACAUCACGGUUUGGUCCCGAUGAUGACGUUGUUGCCCGGGGGCACGUUGAGGAGGCUGUCCGGGCCCACGGUGAUCGGCGUCGCCGGGAACGUGAACCUGGUCUUCGUCACGACGACCGCAUAGGCAGCCGGCUUGAGAUCCGCAAACG
Molecule: unclassified non-coding RNA, 1054 nt
Filed under: uncultured fungus
Lineage: Eukaryota; Fungi
Description: sequence contains 18S rRNA gene, ITS1, 5.8S rRNA gene, ITS2, 28S rRNA gene
Source: RNAcentral